UGGGGAAUAUUGCACAAUGGGCGCAAGCCUGAUGCAGCCAUGCCGCGUGUAUGAAGAAGGCCUUCGGGUUGUAAAGUACUUUCAGCGGGGAGGAAGGCGAUAAGGUUAAUAACCUUGUCGAUUGACGUUACCCGCAGAAGAAGCACCGGCUAACUCCAUGCCAGCAGCCGCGGUAAUACGGAGGGUGCAAGCGUUAAUCGGAAUUACUGGGCGUAAAGCGCACGCAGGCGGUCUGUCAAGUCGGAUGUGAAAUCCCCGGGCUCAACCUGGGAACUGCAUUCGAAACUGGCAGGCUAGAGUCUUGUAGAGGGGGGUAGAAUUCCAGGUGUAGCGGUGAAAUGCGUAGAGAUCUGGAGGAAUACCGGUGGCGAAGGCGGCCCCCUGGACAAAGACUGACGCUCAGGUGCGAAAGCGUGGGGAGCAAACA
RNAcentral lists this ribosomal RNA (427 nucleotides) under uncultured bacterium. Its description in RNAcentral is "partial 16S ribosomal RNA". It matches the Rfam family "Bacterial small subunit ribosomal RNA", at positions 355 to 774 of the family's 1533-position model. The record is from RNAcentral.